UCUCGGCUUUUUUGAAUUUUG
Molecule: non-coding RNA, 21 nt
Filed under: Caenorhabditis elegans
Lineage: Eukaryota; Metazoa; Nematoda; Chromadorea; Rhabditida; Rhabditidae
Source: RNAcentral